UCCGAGUUGACCCCGGCAGUCUCCUAUGAGUUCCCGGCAUAACCCGCUGGCAACAUAGGACGAGGGUUGCGCUCGUUGCGGGACUUAACCCAACAUCUCACGACACGAGCUGACGACAGCCAUGCAGCACCUGUGUUACCGCUCCCUUUCGGGCACACCCGCCUCUCGGCGGGCUUCGGUACAUGUCAAGGGUAGGUAAGGUUUUUCGCGUUGCAUCGAAUUAAUCCACAUAAUCCACCGCUUGUGCGGGUCCCCGUCAAUUCCUUUGAGUUUUAAUCUUGCGACCGUACUCCCCAGGCGGAUGACUUCGCGCGUUAGCUGCGUUACUAAGGGAUUUAACUCCCCCAACAACUAGUCAUCAUCGUUUAGGGCGUGGACUAC
RNAcentral lists this unclassified non-coding RNA (381 nucleotides) under uncultured Gammaproteobacteria bacterium. Its description in RNAcentral is "contains 16S-23S intergenic spacer region". The record is from RNAcentral. Lineage: Bacteria; Pseudomonadati; Pseudomonadota; Gammaproteobacteria.